GUGUCGGAAAUUCCGACCGCCCUCCUCCGGGCGGGCUCCCGCCGGCAGCGAACCGCGCGCGGUCUCUCUUUCUGGAAUGGGUGGCGUCCCGCGGGCAGCUGCACAUUCGCAGCAGACCCGGCCGAGCCCCGGACCUUCAAAGGAAGACUGCCAGGGCCUCCUCGAACCGCAAAGAUGACACAAUUGCCUGAGCUCUUGGUCGGGGCUGCUCUGGGUGGGGUGUGUACCCAAGGGCGUCUUAGAAGCUGAGGGGGCGUUCCUGCAGGGCAGACGGUGUAGAAAACAGGAAAUAGCGCCCGAGGUGGGGUUCCUCGGGGACUAGAGGUGGCACCGAGAGCAGACCUUCCGUCUGGAUGGGCACAGGGGCAUCCGGCCGAAACGCCCGGCGGCAGCGGCCUCCAGACUUACAUUUUAAUGCAGGAGACCCUCUCCCCUCGGGGCGACAUUACACGGGGCAGAAGCAAAGCAGAGCUCAGGAAGGCCGGCAUCCAGGCGCCUCACGCCGCAGCUCCGCUUCCUCCUCCGCUCUGCUCGGCCCUCUCCGCCCUGGGGUGUGUCUUGCAAGAUGAUUUAAGAAGCGCUGUCUUAGGGCGUAGGUGUUAGAUGCCGUGGGAGCAACCCUCCUUGUUUAACCAGUGCUGUCCUGAAGGGCCGUGGAGCAGCUGCCGUGAUGACAAGGCUGGCGGCCCCUCACUGUGGUGGAAGGAAGCUCGCAGUGCGGCGAGCCAAGAGCAGAAGCAGCAGGCGCUCGUCUGUGUCUGUGCCUGCACUUCUCCAGGGGCUAUUGCAAGAGCUUAGUGCAGCGACUGCUGUGUUUGAUCCUCCCAACAAAACAGGGAGCCCACCACUGCCAUGCGCCCCACCAGUCUCAUCAGCCCGGAGGUAACAGAGACGCAGAGACGUGAUUGGUCCAGGGUCCGCACGGCCGAUGACGCCGAGAGCCAGGACUCGAAGCCCAGAAUGCUGGUUGAAGUGUUCCUGUUUUAGGCAUCUUUCUGCAGUGUCUCUGUGUCACUUUGAAAAACGGUAUCAGCUCUCUAUUCCCAGAUAGGCUUCUGGAAAGAUCUAGACUAAAACAUUAAAAAUGAUUAUGUCUAGAAUUACA
Phacochoerus africanus (Common warthog) is the source of this 1105-nucleotide long non-coding RNA. RefSeq lists it as uncharacterized. The transcript is spliced from 2 exons. The record is from RefSeq and is a predicted model, not a curated record. NCBI's taxonomy places the organism in Eukaryota, Metazoa, Chordata, Mammalia, Artiodactyla, Suidae.